UUUUUUUUAUUUGAUCAUCUGGCUAAUCAUAUCUUCAUAACUAAAAUGUUUUAUAAUUUAUCUAUACUAGAAAUAUCAGGAACCUUAAAAAACAGCUUCGAAUAAUCUAACAUAAAUUGUAGUUGUGGAAUAUCACACAGGGGUUGCUUUUGGUCCUCUUUGAUAACUUUUGUAUGUUAGUUAUCUAACUCUUAACUUGGAUAACAAUAUGUCUGAUUUGAAUUUAACAGAUAAAACUCUUCAAUACUCUUCUUGGCCAAUGAAGACAUCAAAUAUAUUAGUGUCUGGUGUCAAGAUAAUUCAAUGGUUAUCAGUAAAUGUACAACUAAAGAAAAAUCUAUAUUAGUACAAACUAAUAAGAAACAAACAUUGAAUUGCAAUCUGAUGUAAGGUAUACAUCAUGAAUGAAUGUUGAAAUCAAGAUUACUCUAUCCUUAUUUUUUUAAAAUUUGUUUAAGAAAGUGAACAAUGUGGUGUCAAAAUAUAAUCAAGAACUAUUUGUGUGUGUUGUGAACAUGUAUAUCUAAAAAUAGUAUGAUCAAAAACUAUUUGUGUGUGUUGUGAACAUGAAUAUCUAUGAACAGUAUGAUCAAGAACUAUUUGUGUGUGUUGUGAACAUGAAUAUCUAAAAUAUG
Molecule: long non-coding RNA, 635 nt
Filed under: Mytilus galloprovincialis (Mediterranean mussel)
Lineage: Eukaryota; Metazoa; Mollusca; Bivalvia; Mytilida; Mytilidae
Source: RNAcentral